Melospiza melodia melodia is the source of this 2650-nucleotide long non-coding RNA. RefSeq lists it as uncharacterized. Lineage: Eukaryota; Metazoa; Chordata; Aves; Passeriformes; Passerellidae. The transcript has 5 exons. The record is from RefSeq and is a predicted model, not a curated record.
GAGAAUACACACUUUGCACUUGCUGCCAUUCCUGAAUCUGAAGAGAACUCAUGAAGAAGCAAGCACAAUAAUUGACUGGUUCUAUUAAUAUGUCCAGAACUGAUUUCCUGCACUGACCAUAACUUAAUGAAUAAUGUUCCCAGCAAAGUUUGCAGGUACAGCUCCAAACUGUGAUGGUCCUGUGGAGCACUGGCAGCAGUAAAACAUCCAACUGCUGGAUCCCUGCCUCCCUCUUGGUGUCUCCCCUUCCCUGCAUCCCAGUCUGAAUGGGUCUCUGGGAUGCCGCAGCCGUGAGCAGAGGGUCUGGAAACAGCCCAGCUCUGGAGGCACAGCAUCCACUGACAGUGCAGAGAGCAGCAAAGGUGUCUACAAAUUAAACAGUAAAUAAAAGCACAGCUGGCGGGAGGAAUAAAAAGGGCAUUUCAGAGUGAAUGUGCAUCCCUCACUGAAGUCACCACUGCAGGAGAUCUUAGCACCUGAGCUGAUCAAGGCUCCAGGAACUGCUUCUUGGUCACCCACAGCACCAGGACAGGCCCACAGGAAGAUACCAGCAGGGACAUCGUUGGUGGGAUGGUCUCUCUCCUCUUCCCUACAGUCCCAGGCUGGGAAAACACACAAUUGAAUAUUCAACCCAGAGUUUUCUCCUCUAGCCAAAGAGGGCAACUUCACACGGUGGAAAUCAUUAAAGAAUCAUACCCUUUUGCUGCUCAACACCAUUUUUAUUGGAAAGGAUUUACCAGCUGUGCAAUAGUGAGACUGGAAUGGUGUGUUUGGCCCCCCUCCUAGAGCUGCUUCUUGCCCCACAAAGGACAUGGACUUCACUGUGCCAGAGUGUCCUCCCUGGCAAGGCUUUGCCCUGAAGAGUAACAAGAAAUAAAAUCUUUGAGAAUGAAGCUAUCAAAUUGGUGCCAUUCUCUUCCAGAAGGCGAUGGGACCUCUCUGUUUGCUGUUGGCACAAGCACCCAGUGACUGGUGUUCCUGAGGGUGCCCAGUAUUGAAUCUCAGCUGUGCUGCCCACACUGCCCUGGCACUGCUGUGGAAGGGCCUGCAUCCCCAGGAGGCUGUGGCUGCUGGACUGCUCCUGAAUAUCAGAAACAUUGAUCUCUGCUUGCUCUUCAGUGGCCAGCUGUACAGGUGUCGAAAGGAGAAGAGCACAAAGAGAAGGCACACAGGAAGGACAGGCAAAUGCUUUGAGGACCAAGUGUAGACUGCAUGUGGCACGUUGAUCCCAGCUGGAUGCCAGGCGCCCACCAAAGCUGCUCCAUCACUACCCUCCUCAGCUGGGCAGGAGGGCAAAAAGAAAACAAAAGUCUCAGGAGUCAAUGGCAGGGAGAGAUCACUGGUUAAUGACUGUCAUGGGCAAAAGAGACUCCACUUGGAGAAAUUAAUUUAAUUUACCAUCAAUCAAAUCAGAGUAGAGUAACAAGAAAUGAAAGUAGGUUGUAAAAAACCUUCCCCUCUGCCCCCCCACUUCUUUCUGGGCUCAACUUUACUCCCUCACUCCCUCCCAUCCUCUCCCUAUGCUGCAGGGGGAUGAGGAAUGGGGGCUGCAGUUAGUUCCUCACACCUUGUCUCUGCCACUCCUUGUUCCUCAGGGGGAGGACUCCUCACUCUUCCCCUGCUCCAGCGUGGGGUCCAACCCUCUUUGACAGGCAGAAGUGAAAUUAUUAGUGACAGCUAAAAUUAAGAUUUUAAUAAUUACUUGAGCUCUUCUUUGCUUAGGCCCAGCAGGAGAACAUCCUACGAUGUGCAGUGUGUCAACCACUUACCUUGAAGUAAAUGAAAGCUGAGGCUUUGCAGCAUUGGAAAAAUGUUCCGUAACUUUCAGCAUUAGGCUCAAGAGUACUUUUUUAGUAUGAAGAGUUCAGCAGGAAUUGCACCUUGUAAGAGAUGAGGACAGACAAAUAGUAUUCAGAGUGUAAAUGAUGUUAAAGACUGCCAAAAUGGUAGAGGGGGCGAAGACAGGAAGGGAACAAAACAUUAUAGAAGAUUAAGAGGUGAAUUAAGAUGAUAGCUUCUCUCUUCCCACACAUAGGUACUGAUUUCACACCCUUUCAGAGUUUGUAUUUGACUGCUCACAGAGCCUUUCAGCAUCACUUUGAUUGGUCUGUUCAGUAGAGAAAUGGUCCAACCUUUGCACAUGGACGAGCCCUGAGUAUGGCUCUUGUGUUCUGUAAGGGCUCUCCAGGUACAGUUUUGAUUGUCUGAUCCUCCAUGUAAAGAAAUCAGUCCUGUUCCAAGGGAAAUGCCAUCUGCUUUGAAACUUACAAACCAAUUCUUUUGUUAGGAAAUUCUGAUGCUGCAGGGGUGACCAAAGUUUGAGUGAGCAUGUGGAGCCAAGGGAUGCUGCAAAGAUGGUCUCCCAUGCUGACCCCCAUUUCUUCUUGCCUGAGAAAGGGCUGUGAGGUGUCUCUAGACCAAGACCCAUCUGCCACUGCAUGGCACCUGCUUGUCUUGUCAGAUAUGCUGGCUGAACAGCCAUCUAAGGUUGUCUGCUUCUGUGAGCUGACCUGGUGAUUUGGGGUUAUGAGCCUCAAACUUUAGUUUGUUUCUGCAGUUGCUUCAAGAAAACCUUACUUGGACUGAAGUGGGAUUUCCUAAAGACAUUUCCUAAACCCUGUGAUUUUGCAGAAUUAGUGUCUUGUGGAAA